Non-coding RNA from Hymenopellis radicata, 83 nucleotides. Lineage: Eukaryota; Fungi; Basidiomycota; Agaricomycetes; Agaricales; Physalacriaceae. The record is from the annotation of a GenBank genome assembly.
UCCCUCUUAGCUCAGUGGUGAGAGCGCGUCACUAGUAUGCGUUGUGCAUGACGAGGUCAGUCGUUCAAGUCGGCUAGAGGGAA